GUUAAACGACUAUCCAAAUGAUACGGUUAAUAUGAACUCAAUUCUAUGACCGAAAAAUUGACUCGUUAUUCCAGUCACAGAGACACAAACAAGAAGUAGAUAAAGUUCGAACUGAUUAAGUCAUAUGAAAAGGUCACGAUAGACCUUUAAGAACGCAAUGCGAUAAUUUUAAUAGGCUCUAUGAUGCAAACAAUAUACAACGCAACACUUCAUUUCAUUUAUUUAUAGCCGAUCAGAUGAAUGCUCUGGAUUUUUUUGAUUUUAUGGAAAAAUUUCUUAAAUUAAUCAGUGCAAAAUUGUGUAACCUCAUUUCUCUUGUUCUAUUUCUGAUGUUUUAAUACGACUCGUGUCUUCUGUUUCAGCCAAAAUCGUGAAUGCCAGACCUUGUCACGGGCAUACUGCACAAUUGCAUUUGAUUUAUGAUGGGUUAUCAAGUGACCGCACAGAUCACAUUUGAAAAUCACUCGUGAUUCGUGAUAACACACAAGCGUAGUCUAAACUUGUUCGAUUUAUCAGCGCAGCGACGUGAUCAUAAAACGAAAAACAAAACCGAGAUGCUUCGUUUCCGUUGAUGCUUCGGAAGUAACGAAGUAGUAAUUUGACGUUGGUACAAAGAGCAUUGAUAUUCCGAUUUUCGCAUCAGAAGCGAAUAAAUAUCGUCGCAAGUGACACGUAUCACACCGAUUUUUGUUAACGAACCGAGAACCGUGUGUUUGUUAUUGAUUUACGAAAGCCGAUUCUUCACCCCGGUUAUGUGCCACAAUGAAAUUCCUUUGCUUCCUUGCAGCCGGUUUGUUAUGUAUGCAUUACGUUCUGUUUUGGGUCAUGUGUGAUUGCUGUCAUGGUUAUAAACCAUAGAAAAUUGGAGCGUUUUGUUUCAUCGAGGAGACAUGACUAGCAAAAUGAUUUGAUAGUGUUGAAUGAAAUAUUUUUAAGGAAAAUGUGCAACAAACCGGUUAUUUCCAGAAAUAAAAAAAGUUCGAACUAAA
Molecule: long non-coding RNA, 989 nt
Organism: Sitodiplosis mosellana (orange wheat blossom midge)
Lineage: Eukaryota; Metazoa; Arthropoda; Insecta; Diptera; Cecidomyiidae
Exons: 2
Source: RefSeq, a predicted model, not a curated record